AUGUCCGCCUCACGCGCCCUCCUCUCGAGCCCGCACGGCGGUGCGAGCCGGACCUUCACGAGAGCGCCGACCCGCCUCGCCGCGGCCUCGAUCCCGUUCGCGCGCUGCGGCGCUCUCCGCGCCCGGACCGCGAUCCUGUCGUCGCCGGCGGCCACUGUGCCGGUGACCUCUUCGGAGCCGAAGCGCCGGAUCUCGCGCUCCGUGUCGGACUCGGCGCCGCUGGCGAAGCCUGCGGUCCUGGUGGCGGAGAAGCUGGGCGAGGCCGGGCUGGACGUGCUGCGUCAGUUCGCCGACGUGGAGUGCGCGUACGGCAUGUCCCCCGCCGAGCUCCUGGCCAAGGUGGCGCAGUUCGACGCGCUCAUCGUGCGGAGCGGCACCAAGGUGACGAGGGAGGUGCUGGAGGCGGGGCGCGGGCGGCUGCGGGUGGUCGGCCGGGCCGGCGUCGGGAUAGACAACGUCGACCUGCAGGCGGCGACGGAGGCGGGGUGCCUUGUCGUGAACGCCCCCACCGCCAACACCGUCGCCGCGGCGGAGCACGGCAUCGCGCUGCUCGCCUGCAUGGCCCGCAACGUCUCGCAGGCGGACGCCGCGCUCAAGGCCGGCAAAUGGCAAAGAGCCAAGUAUGUUGGAGUUUCCCUAGUUGGAAAGACUCUUGCCAUCAUGGGCUUUGGAAAGGUUGGCUCGGAGGUAGCAAGGCGAGCGAAAGGGCUAGGGAUGCAUGUGAUUGCUCAUGACCCCUAUGCUCCGGCCGACAAGGCCCGUGCCAUUGGAGCAGAGCUGGUGUCCUUCGAGGAGGCCAUCGCCAAGGCUGACUUCAUCUCCCUCCAUAUGCCGCUCACCCCGGCGACAUCCAAGGUCUUCAACGACGAAUCCUUCGGGAAGAUGAAGACCGGCGUGCGGAUCAUCAAUGUGGCCAGGGGCGGCGUGAUCGAUGAAGAUGCUCUGGUCAGGGCGCUGGACUCCGGCAAAGUUGCUCAGGCAGCUCUUGAUGUCUUCACAGUGGAGCCCCCGGCGAAGGACAGCAAGCUGGUUCUUCAUGAGAAUGUCACUGUCACGCCCCAUCUUGGAGCAAGCACAGUGGAGGCGCAGGAAGGCGUCGCCAUCGAAAUUGCUGAAGCCGUGGGCGGCGCACUGAGAGGUGAGCUCGCAGCGACCGCUGUGAAUGCUCCCAUGGUCCCAGCAGAGGUCUUGUCAGAGCUAGCUCCGUACGUUUCCCUGGCGGAGAAGCUGGGGAGGCUGGCAGUGCAGCUCGUCGCCGGAGAGAGCGGCAUCAAGGGCGUCAAGGUGGUGUACACCUCAGCCAGGGAUCCCGACGACCUCGACACGAGGCUCCUCCGGGCGAUGGUCACCAAGGGCAUCGUGGAGCCCGUGUCCAGCACCUUCGUCAACCUCGUGAACGCGGACUACACGGCGAAGCAGCGCGGCCUGCGCAUCGCCGAGGAGCGGGUCUCCCACGACAACGCCGCCGCCGAGGCGCCGCUGGAGUCCAUCCAGGUACGCCUCUCGCACGUGCAGUCCAAGUUCGCCGGGGCGAUCAGCGACGGCGGGGACAUCGUCGUCGUGGGCAGGGUCAAGUACGGCGUGCCUCACCUGACCGUCGUCGGGCCCUACGAGGUCGACGUCAGCCUGGAGGGGAACCUGAUCCUGUGCCGGCAGAUCGACCAGCCCGGGAUGAUCGGCAAGGUCGGGAACAUCCUCGGGCAGAGGAAUGUGAACGUCAGCUUCAUGAGCGUCGGCCGCACCUCCCGUGGCAAGCAGGCGAUCAUGGCCAUCGGCGUGGACGAGGAGCCGGACAAGAAGACGCUCGAGAAGAUUGGGGCGAUCCCGGCCGUCGAGGAGUUUGUGUUCCUCGAGCUAUGA
This 1860-nucleotide ribosomal RNA is filed under the name Triticum aestivum (bread wheat). RNAcentral describes it as "partial small subunit ribosomal RNA". Lineage: Eukaryota; Viridiplantae; Streptophyta; Magnoliopsida; Poales; Poaceae. The record is from RNAcentral.